Molecule: long non-coding RNA, 1107 nt
Organism: Brachypodium distachyon (stiff brome)
Lineage: Eukaryota; Viridiplantae; Streptophyta; Magnoliopsida; Poales; Poaceae
Exons: 2
Source: RefSeq, a predicted model, not a curated record
AAUAAUUGUAUUUACAAAAUCUAAUAGUAGUACAUCUCAUCUCCACUACUGUAAAGUCAUUGUUUGUAUCUCCCUCUUUUUCGUCUACUCAUAUCGGACCGCGGAUCUUCAUCAAAAUACAAAAUCAACACAUGUGUGGGAAAAAAAAUACACAAUCACGUUAACUCACUCACAUAUGUUUACGAGAAGUCACCGCAACAACGAGCGUAUGUUUACGAGAAGUCACCGCAACAACGUGCAUUGAAUGGCUCAUAUUUAUUCUGAAGUAUCGUAAAAGCGCUCACGAAACCGUCACAUCCAACUAAAAGAAUGGUUGCAUCAAUCUGACACCACGAUGUCAAAUCUAGAAUUUAAUCCUAGUUUGCACGGUAUAACAACGGACUUCACUAAUCAUCCAAGCAAUGCUUGAUUCAUAAUGAGAUGGUUGUUUUAAGGCUCCGGGACCUUGAGGCUGCCGCCGCCGCGGGGCGAGCUCGCGGACAGCAGCGCAUCGUCGUCGUCGUCGCGAUCGCCGUCGCCGUCGAUGCGCCGGACCUCAUCGCACCGGCUGCUGCAGUUCUUGCAGGAGCUCAAGGCCGAGGCCAUGGCCCGCGCGCGGCACUUUUCGCAGGAGCUGACCGAGCGGCUCGGCCGCAGCCACAGCCGCGAGGAAGGGCAAGGGCAUCCGCCGCCGUCGUCCGGCAUCGAGUCCGCGCUCGCCGCCCGCGCGGGCCCGCACGGUGUUCCGCGGCCUCCGGUUCAACAGCAGCAACAAGGCCAACAACGCCUGGAGGGAACUCCAGGCCAAUUUUGAUUGCCUCGCCCGCGACGGCUACCUCUCCCGCUCCGAUAUCGCGGAAUACAUAGGGAUGACAGAAUCGAAGGAGUUCGCUCUCGAGCUGUUCGACACAUUGAGCCGGCGGCGAAGGAUGAAGGUAGAAAAAAUGAAUGAAGGCAAAUAUGAAGGGGCUAAAUGCAUAAAUGCAUAAAUGGAUGGACCUGACAGUAGGUCCCACCUGUAAGGAAAAGUGUCAAACAAGCUCAACAAUCAGUUUUGGGCAAACAAAAAAGAUUAGUCUGAAUAAGUGUAGUUCUAUGAAAAAAUUAUCGAAAAAUAUGGUUCUUUGA